GGGCCAUUAGCUCAGUUGGUUAGAGCCCCCGGCUCAUAACCGGAUGGUCCUAGGUUCGAGCCCUAGAUGGCCCACCA
Molecule: transfer RNA, 77 nt
Filed under: Oscillospiraceae bacterium
Lineage: Bacteria; Bacillati; Bacillota; Clostridia; Eubacteriales; Oscillospiraceae
Description: tRNA-Ile
Rfam family: tRNA
About the family: Transfer RNA (tRNA) molecules are approximately 80 nucleotides in length. Their secondary structure includes four short double-helical elements and three loops (D, anti-codon, and T loops). Further hydrogen bonds mediate the characteristic L-shaped molecular structure. tRNAs have two regions of fundamental functional importance: the anti-codon, which is responsible for specific mRNA codon recognition, and the 3' end, to which the tRNAs corresponding amino acid is attached (by aminoacyl-tRNA synthetases). tRNAs cope with the degeneracy of the genetic code in two manners: having more than one tRNA (with a specific anti-codon) for a particular amino acid; and 'wobble' base-pairing, i.e. permitting non-standard base-pairing at the 3rd anti-codon position.
Source: RNAcentral